RNAcentral lists this ribosomal RNA (174 nucleotides) under Lentzea fradiae. RNAcentral's name for it is "Lechevalieria fradiae 16S rRNA. Bacterial SSU". It matches the Rfam family "Bacterial small subunit ribosomal RNA", at positions 1 to 175 of the family's 1533-position model. The record is from RNAcentral. Lineage: Bacteria; Bacillati; Actinomycetota; Actinomycetes; Pseudonocardiales; Pseudonocardiaceae.
CCUUAUUGGAGAGUUUGAUCCUGGCUCAGGACGAACGCUGGCGGCGUGCUUAACACAUGCAAGUCGAGCGGUAAGGCCCUUCGGGGUACACGAGCGGCGAACGGGUGAGUAACACGUGGGUAACCUGCCCUGUACUCUGGGAUAAGCCUUGGAAACGAGGUCUAAUACCGGAUA